GAUGAACGCUGGCGGCGUGCCUAAUACAUGCAAGUCGAGCGAACAGACGAGGAGCUUGCUCCUCUGACGUUAGCGGCGGACGGGUGAGUAACACGUGGAUAACCUACCUAUAAGACUGGGAUAACUUCGGGAAACCGGAGCUAAUACCGGAUAAUAUAUUGAACCGCAUGGUUCAAUAGUGAAAGACGGUUUUGCUGUCACUUAUAGAUGGAUCCGCGCCGCAUUAGCUAGUUGGUAAGGUAACGGCUUACCAAGGCAACGAUGCGUAGCCGACCUGAGAGGGUGAUCGGCCACACUGGAACUGAGACACGGUCCAGACUCCUACGGGAGGAAGCAGUAGGGAAUCUUCCGCAAUGCGCGAAAGCUUGACGGAGCAACGCCGCGUGAGUGAUGAAGGUCUUCGGAUCGUAAAACUCUGUUAUUAGGGAAGAACAAAUGUGUAAGUAACUAUGCACGUCUUGACGGUACCUAAUCAGAAAGCCACGGCUAACUACGUG
Molecule: ribosomal RNA, 497 nt
Filed under: uncultured bacterium
Lineage: Bacteria
Description: partial 16S ribosomal RNA
Rfam family: Bacterial small subunit ribosomal RNA
Source: RNAcentral